This 253-nucleotide ribosomal RNA is filed under the name uncultured bacterium. Its description in RNAcentral is "partial 16S ribosomal RNA". It matches the Rfam family "Bacterial small subunit ribosomal RNA", at positions 524 to 776 of the family's 1533-position model. The record is from RNAcentral.
CACGUAGGGCGCAAGCGUUGUCCGGAAUUAUUGGGCGUAAAGAGCUCGUAGGCGGUCUGUUGCGUCCGCUGUGAAAACUCGGGGCUUAACCCCGAGCCUGCAGUGGAUACGGGCAGACUAGAGGUAGGUAGGGGAGAAUGGAAUUCCCGGUGUAGCGGUGGAAUGCGCAGAUAUCAGGAGGAACACCGAUGGCGAAGGCAGGUCUCUGGGCCAUUACUGACACUGAGAAGCGAAAGCAUGGGGAGCGAACAGG